AAAACCUCUCCUGUUCAGAGCAGGCGGCAGAGGUGGCUUUUCAUCCCACGGCUCUCGCAAACUGCACAAGUGGGCAGACACCGCUCAAUCGGAUCCAGCCCUCUUAAGAAAAUGUCUGAAAAGCCAUUGUAUACCUGCACACCGGGCUGUCUACCGAGGGAAGCAGUUAAGCUCCCCUUUGGAAGUAGUGGCAGAGAAGCGCUGUCCCUGCUGGGGCUGGAUCCGGCUCCACUGCCAGUGCAGGCGGUCUGCCCGAAAGGUGGCUCCCUUUGCUUUCCAAAGUAACUAUUGCAAGACAGAUCAAACAAAAGCAGUUUUAAUCUGCUCUGACUAAUAUCACAAACCGGCUCCCCCGCGCCAGUAAUACGGUCCCCUGAGCAAAUGAAGGCUCAGAAGAAUGAGGAACUUGUACCGGCUGCCUCAGGGAGGUCAGUCCAGGGCAGCUGUCCUUUGCCCCAGAAGAUUGCUAGUGACUUUCGGGGCCCAAAUUGGUUAGAUUGCCCGAGGAGGUAGACUCGGGUCAUUCUGAGAUGCCCAGCAGGCUGUUGCCACAUACCCUUUUGUGCCCAAAGCGGGUAUUACAUUCUGACCUGUAUUGUUUUUAAAACGCCAACUAGCACAUUGGCUAAGGUUUACCUUGCAAAUCACCCUGAGUUCUACUAAUACCAGUGAUGGAAGCAGGGCAAACCACAUCUCUGGCUCAGCAUAGCCGUGUGCCUCUGCAUGAGGAGCAUAUCCUUUCCGAUCUCAGAAUCCUUACUUGAUGAGGAGACAGUGAGUCAGACCUUGCAAAGAUGGAAACACUGAAGCUGCUACAUGUGAAUGAGGAGCAUAGAACCAGAGAGACAGCAGAUGCUCAACCAGCAGCCGCGGACUUGGACCUGUCGGUCUAGAUACCAAUUUGAUGCUUAUGAAGAAAAGCUAGGCCAGGUUGUUUGAGAGCAACAUGGCAGCUGACAGUCACCUAGGUAAGCAUGUGACCUAUGACCCACACAGGGAGAGUCUCCAGAGAAAUGGGGCCCAGAGACUUAUGGGAGCAUCUUGUGUGUCUGCAUGCAAUGUAAAAAGCAGCUCGAGGCUCAACCCAUGGAAACAGAUGAGGAAAGUGGAGCAGACAGAAGACUAAGUAGAGGUACCACGGGCGACUCCUGUACUCUUAAGAACGGCACACAAGUUUUAAACGGGUCCUCAGACGGACAAUUUGUGACAAAGUGGAAGAACCAUGCCAUGGAUGUCACACACGUCCCAGUGUGAGGUCAGAUCAAGAGACACCUGCAUUAGCUGCCACUCACACCAGCUAGGAUGAGUUCUUCUGCCCAGUUCCUGAAAUGGAAUACCUGAUGCAAAAAUGGAAACUUCAUAUGGUCAAGUUGCGGGCAGAAAGUUACCAUAGCUGGCUGGGCCUUGGAUGAGAAGGACGCUGAUCAGGAUGUAAGCAAGCUCUCAGUUACUGUGCCAUGCCUGCUUGCCUGCUGCCACACUGCCUACCAUGAUGGUUGUGGAUUUACUAUCCCUCUGAAACUCUUUUUGCCAUGGGGUCUAUGAAGUGAAAAUUCAACAGUGGGAUUUUGGCGCCACAGUGUGUGCCAAGAUCCAGAGCAACCACAGAGAGGGCAUUGCUGUUGACCUCAGGCUUCCUCUCCACCCAUUUAUCCUCCCUGAUCUUCCAAGGGGAUCCUCUGGCUACGAACCUCACUCUCACCCCACCCCUUGGCAGGCCUGGUUUAGAGUCCUGGUAUCAGAGGAAGGAAAAAAGUUUUGACACAUACAUGUGGUUUGGAAAUUCCAAAAAGGCCGGCACGCGAGCCUUCAGCAAUUUACAUUUGAGGUCAUAGUGGGAGACUAGGGAUGUAGAAUUUAUGGUCCAAUGGGAUAAAUCAAAUCCCUGCUCUGGAUCAGAGUUUUCUGUGCCCUAGAUUGUCAGACAUUCUUGGAGGAUGCUUCCAAGCACGAGUUUGACAAGCUCAGGGUUACAGGACUCUGAGAAGAUGCCCAGUUAAUACUGGAUGUACUGAUGCCUUUGAGUGCAACAGAAAAACACAUUACCAGAAGCAAAGAGACACUGUUGCAGACAGAAAGAGAAAAUUCAAGAAUUCCACAGAAGAAUCAAAUACCUGCAACAAGACGACAAGGUGCCAAAGACCGAGGAAAUGGCUGGAUGAAGAGGUGCCCUUCCCCACACACACCCAAAUGACCAAGCAUCCCGAGGAUGCUGAAAGUCUCAGUAGUAGAUAAGGAAAGACACUCCCUUUUGCUUGAAGAGCUUGCAGGGAAAUUGAACCCCUGUCCAGCUCAGUGGGGGAAUCUUGUCAGCCACACAUGGCAAUUUCCUCAUUGACCCUUCACUGUUCUCUCAAAGCAAAGCCACCAGAAUACAGAAAUCAUGAACAGUCAGGUUUAAGUAUGGUGCUGGUUGGUUUUUGUCAACCUGACACAAACCUAGACAUAUUUGGGAAGAGAGAAUCUUAACUGAGAAAGUGCCUUCACAAGAUUGGCCUAGAGCAAGCCUGUGGGGUUUGUCUUGAUUAAAGAUUGAUAUGGGAGGGUCCUGUCCACUGUGGGUGGUACCACCCCUAGGCUGAUGGUCCAGGGUUGUACAAGAAAGCAGGUUGAGCAAGCCAUGAGGAGCAAGGCAGUAAGCAGCACCCCUCCAUAGCCUCUGCAUCAGCUCCUGCUUCCAGGUCCCUACUCUGAUUUCCUUUGAUGAUGGACUGUGAUGCGAAAUGUCAUCUGAAAUAAACCCUUCCCUCCCCAAGUUGAUUUUGGUUAUGGCGUUCAUCGCAGCAACAGAAACACUAACUGAGACAAGCACCAUGCCUGCUGAGAUCAGAGGGUGAGCCUUCCACAAGAAGCCCACCCUGUGCACCUGUGUAAGACAGCCGCAUGUCUAUGUAUUCUCUCCUGUGUGCUGGAAUUGAGCAAACUCUGGGGCACAGCAGUUCAGAUAACCCAGAGCUCAAACUGCGGAGGAAAAGAAAGAGCAGAACAAGUAAUCACGUGACACCAAGGACAGGAAGUAAUCACGUGACACCAAAGACAACUAGAGUGCUUUGGGCGUCUGUGGAGGAAGCUUCAUGACUUGCAUGGAAAUAGAGGAACAAACCCAAGGUUGAGUUUAUUCUAAAUACCUCAAAAUGUGUCCUAGAGCUCAUUCAAGUGGAUACCACCUCGAAGCCAUUCCAGGCUCUUGGUUUCUUCAUCAUUCCCGAUUUUACCUUCCCCUACCCAUCUGACAAAAAAUGACUGUUUCCCUUCAUUUGAUUGUUUCAAUAUCCAUGACUUGCUGAAGAUAUCCCAUCCUCCUACAGCCAAGUAGAGAAGGCAUCUUAGGGAUCACAGAGAAAUGCGCUGGCUUCUUCCACCAUUGAAAUCUCUUAGGAUACUUUCCAAAUCAUUCAACCUGAUAACAUUAAUAUAGGAUAUCUUCAUAGCUCCUCGUGUAUCAAACACCUAAAACUAACUUUCCACGGUCAAAGCCAACCUUGCAAAGACCAUUUGUCUAAAUGUGCCAGUUUAUUCUGCUUGGUGCGUUGGGUAUCAGAACUCCGCCAGCUGGGAUAGUGCUCAGCAGAAAACAUUUGACUUAGAAGUAGAACAUUCCAGAGCAUUUAAGGUUGGAAGUGAUUUAGAGAUCGUUCAUUCCUUUCAGCCUUGGACACAAGAGGAGAGCUGGAGGAGGUGGGGUGACUGAGCCAAAGGCAUCAGGCUGGUGGUGGUUAGCAGCACGUGAGGACUGACAUGGGGCUGGUGUGGGGGGGACUCUCGGGGUUUUCUGGGACUGUCAUAGAAAGCCUAGCGUCAUGCCUGGCACACAGCUGCACACCGCACAGAAUGUUGAAGUGAGCGACUAAUUGCUGAAAGUACUCUAAUGAUGUCCAAGCCUGCACUAGAACAUCUGCCCCACCAUAGUCCAGUGACGUAGGUACUACUAACUGCCACCUGCCGAGCACACCAGAAUCAAUCCCUGAGAUUGGAAAUGGUUCCUAGUCGGGUUUCAAACACACCAGAACAAUUAAGGAACACUUUUUUUUUUUCUUUUUGUAACUCUCAAAAUUUGAAUCGGAAUCACUGGCUGAGGCACCAGUCUACAAACAGCUAACCAACAUUCCCUCCCUCUCACCCAGGGGGAUAGGAAAAACCUCCACUCCCACCUCCAGACCUCAGCCCCGCAGGUGUGCGCGUCUGCGCCAUCUAGUGUCCAGAGAGAGAAAAUGCUCUGCAGAACAGCCAGAACCCUGUAGCCAGGUGAGCAUAAAAGUGUUAGGUACUCAGCUGGGCCAUCACUCUCUUUUCUUGGUACAAUCUGGGGUAAGAAUGGCUUGCCAGCUUUCAUGUCCCUAACUUGGUGAUGCUGGCUAAAUCCUAUAGGCCACUUCUACCUGAAUACCGACAUGCCGGGAGUCUAUGCUAAACACCAGAGUGUGACAGUUUCAGGUGGUGGAGAGGCAGUCUCUCAGCGAACCAUAUUCACUAGGUGUUUUUAUCCGAGGCUGUGACUUCCCUCAACUCUAUAGCUUAGCCUUUAUCAAUUGUGAUUGGGACUCUUGCUUUGAAAGCUCAGACAAAUGAAUGUCUUCUAAGAUCGGUGACUACGAAGUAGAAGAAAACAGAAACAUUCUUGCUACUCAGACAUUUGGUGCUUAAUAUCUAAAGUAACAAUGUCACAGAGGUAAUAACUGUGCUGGAGCUACAGGCAGGUCUUAUGGAUCCACAAUAAAAAUACAAAGGACUAAGCUGGGUGGUGAUGGCACACUCGGAUCUCUGUGAGUUCAAGGCCAUCCUGGGCUACAGAGUGAGUUCCAGGACAGGCUCCAAAGCUACACAGAGAAAACUUGUCUCAAAAAAUAAAAAACAGAAAGGAAGAAAGAAUGCAGAGGACUAGACGCAGCAGCAGGAGAGAGCGAGAUUUAAAGAGAAUCAGCAACUGGAGCCUCAUGCAAGGUGAAGGGAAAUAACAAAAGCCAGGGUUCUUAGUCCCAAAACAGCCCUACAGGAAAUUCCAUGGAACAAUCUUCUGUGGAAAACAGGAGACGUGUUUUAUAAAUAAUGAGGUGGGCAGGGCUGUGGGGAGACAAGGCGCCACAGCGGAAGAGCGGAGCCUGGGUGAGGAUGGACCUUCCUGGCCGGAAGAAGAGACAGCAAGCAUCUGGUGCAAUGACGAGGUACGGAACAUCAGGUGCUGCCCAGGAAACAUCCUUUAUACAGGUUAGUGUGUUUUACCUUGCCCAGACAGCUCCUUAAAGUAAUUUCUCUUUGCAUUUCCCUCCUCUCUCUCUCUCUCUCUCUCUCUCUCUCUCUCUCUCUCUCUCUCUCUCUCUCUCUCUCUCUCUCCUGUUCUCUUCUUCUCUCUUUUUUUCAGGUCUGUGUCCAUGGAGACUGGUAUUCACUGAGAAAUGGGGAAGCAGGGAGAGAGGAUCUAGAGGGGAGUCCUAACAAAUAACCAGGAUGAUGUCUCUUGUGGUGGAUUAAAAGGAUGGAAAGUGUGCUUCAAAUACAUCUACACCGACACAUAUUUGCAUACCUAUUAUCCUGUUUUAGUCAGGACCUUGAACGUUAGUGUUGGUCAUGCAGAAUUUCAAUAUUAAGCAGUGAUGGCUGUAAAAUCAGUGUGAGCCCCAGUGAGCCUGAGGGCCUCCAGAACCAGGCUUUGUCUCCAGUUCAUCCAUUUGGUGCUGCCUUAACAGCAGAGCUCUGAGGGACCCCAGAGGUCAAAGUGAGUGGAAAAAGCUAAUCCCAUCCUGAGGCCUUGGGCUGAGGGAGAGCACAGGUGCCCUGGGAAAGCUGAGUGGUCAGAGCUGCAAAUGAGCCAGAGCUGAGGAGAGAGAACAAGCCCCGGAGCUCCCGUGAACCCCUGGCCAGCCACCUCUGUCUCAUCUGUCCCCUCAGCACCCCGUUCCUCUGCCUUGUCCUCCAGGUCCCAGGAGCGUCUUCCACCUCAGCUCUUGAUGGUACUAUAAUUUCCUUAAUUUCUGCCCACCUUUCCCUCCUCUCCCUAAAACACCCACCUCUACCAGUUCUCUCAUCUGACUCGUCUACGGAAUCUUCUGAGCUCCACCCCUGACUAUCAACAAGGAACAUUCUCUAGAUAGCUGUACUGUCCUGGCCAGUGAGGAGACAGGAUACAUCGUAAAUACAACCAUUUCCUUCUACCAGCCCUCGCUCUGGGAAUGACCUUGUUGCUAAGUCUAGACUGUGUACGCACGUACUCAAGUACCUUCCCCUGGGGUGCCACCCUGGCUGUCACCCCAGAAGCCCCAAAUAGGAGGUAAAGGGGACCCUAGAGGAGCACUUAGUGAAGCAGGUUAAGUCCAGGUGGCGUGACUGGAACAAGACAGGCUGGAGGCAGUUCACAGGGGAUUUCGGAAAUGCCAGCUGCAACACCAUCCUGGUGGCUGUGGGUGCCACCAGGAUGUGAUGGGGAACACUUUCUUCAGUUCACAUCUUCUUGGCACGUCAAGUGGACUCUGCACCCAGGUGGACCAAGAUGCAAGGUGUCUGAAGUCUCAGGAGGGCAGCUCCAGCCGCUUCCUGUAGAGCCUCCAUCAACUUUGUCCUUUCCACACACAGCUGGGAAAGGGCAGGGAUGGGACUGAUGGCCAGUGAGGGUCCAGAACCUGCCUUAGUUCACAAUAUAUCCUCAGGUGAGAAUGUUCUAGAAAAAUCCUCUGGUAACACAAUCUAUGUGCUUGAGCACAAAAUUCAGCAAUGUUGGAGAGGAAGGUAGGCUUCCUAGCAUGGGGAAGCAGCCCAUUCUCACCCCUAUUUUAACACCUUUCUGCUCUGCAAAUGGCUGCAGUGUCUAUAAGGCAGAGCCUAGUGACACACGGUGUGUGGCCUUUGCGCCCGCUCUGCCUGAGUUCCGGCUCUGAGUCGAAAGAGAGGCGCAGAUGACAUUCAGAAAGUUCAUGGAAAUCCUUUUUGCGUUCAAACUUCUGGCUGGGACACAGGUCAGAAAAUGACCUCAUCUCCUCUGGAUCCUUGCCCAAGGCUGAGCCCUGGCAGCUGCCACCCUGUGCCCUGGUGCAGUUCUGGCUGGAUACCAGCUGGGCUCUUUCCUUCUGUCCUGGCUGCUGGCCUCACUCAGGGACAGCAGCCCCUGGACGAUCACUUCUGCGUCCGAGCCAUCCUCGAAGUCUUACGCCGCCGCAGAAGGCGCCCGCUAUUGUUUCGUUUGACUUGCUCUGUUUUGACAGCACCUCUUUUAGCAGGGACGUCUGACUCUUUAUUUUUUUAAUUUUAUUUUGGUUUUUGUAGAACUUGCCAAGCAGGUAAAUGUGGCUCUGGGGAAGUGACCUGUCAGCAUGAUCAGAUUUCAAGGAAGCAGAGUACUCGGAGCCGGAGGACUUUAGUUUUCUGUAACAACUGUGGGCCAGCUAUUGUUCUGUCCCGUUUUACACGUUUAAUGCAAACAGUUUCUCAAACACAAGUGGGUUAUAGCAAUCCUUGAACUUCUCCAGGUGGUAGAAAGGCUGGAAAAGGUCUGCAGACGAGGUCAGUUGAUUUGGCCCCACUCGGCUUGUGGAUGCUCCUAAAGUUACUGUAUGCUGGCGGCACGGUGAAGCGACUCCAGGGUAUUCACACGUGUGGGGUAAAGGCCUCCAUGACAAACAGGGUCUCUACCCUCCCUGCGACAGUGCACACACUUGGGGCAUUAAUGUUCUGAACAAAUACGCAGCACAGUUGGCCCUUGCUAUACAUGGAUUCUGCAUCUGUGAAUCCAACCAAUCACACGCUGAAGAAAUAUUUUCUUAAAAUCCUGUUUGUACUGAAACAUGUCCACCAACUCCUGCCAUUACUCCUUGGCCAAUAUGGUCUAAUAACCAUUUACACAGAGUUCACAUUGUGUUGCAAAUUGUAAGUUACCUAGAGAAGAUGUCAAGUGUGAGAGGACGUCUGUGGGGGGGUACCUGUAAAUAUGCAGCCAUUUCGGAUGAGGGACUUGGGCAUCUCUGGAUUCUGGUGUGUUUGAGAGCCCUGGAACCAACCAUAUACACACAUAUACAGUAGGUUUUCCACAAAGACUCUUACGGUCAACAUUGCCUAAUUUGAACUAAAGCUAUGUUCAUUUUUAGUGUCCAUCAUGGCCAUUUACAAGGCCCCGCAUUGUCAUUACUACUGCUAUUGAUACUUUACAGCAAAGGAAAUCAACCACUAUAGAGUCCUAUAGGCUCCUCAUCAUGUUUGGGGUUAGAACUCAGACAUUUUCCAGCCUUAAUCCUAAAAUGAUGUAGCCAAGGACUUAACACUGUUGUCAGCUCCUGUCUUAAUUCCCUUGUCUUACAUCCUUUGGAGUUUUUUGUUGUUGUUGAUAUUUUUUGUCUUCUAGUUUCUUAAGAUGAAUUCUAACUUGUAUUUUAAAUUUUCUUUCCACAUUAAAGACCGUGUUCAAAGCUAUUUUGUCUAAAAACAACUUUUUGUGCACGCUAUAGGUCUGUUGUGAGGUCUCUUGGUUUGUGUGUGUGUGUGUUCACUCACGCACCACCUGUGUGACUGCCCACAGAGGCCAGAAGAGGGCAUUGGACACCCUGGAGCUGGAUUUACAGGCAAGCGUGAGCCACUGUGUGGGUGCCGGGAACCAAUCUCGGGUCCUUUGCAUGAGCAGCAGGCGCUCUUAACCACAGGGCCGUCUUUCAUCUCUUAGUUUUGCUCACUUGCUAAAUAACACACUUUCAGCCUUGACUUUGUUUGCUCAGGGACAUUUAAUGAAUGUACUUUGUUUUCUAAAUAUAGAAAAUUGGGCCUUUCCAUGAUUUAUCUAUUUGGUAGGGGGUGAUAUGAGACAGAUGAUUCUAAAAUCUAAUUCCUUAAACUAUUUGAAAUGUCCUUCAUCGUCAAGUUUCUGACUGAAGUUCACAAAUGUCACAAAAUUUAUCUUUUGAAAGACAAAAAAAAAUAAGGAAAAGUUAUGUAUUUUUAACUUUGUGGUGCAAAUUUCUUUUGCAUGAUACUAAAAUGCCUUAAGAUCC
Peromyscus californicus insignis is the source of this 8966-nucleotide long non-coding RNA. RefSeq lists it as uncharacterized. The transcript has 5 exons. NCBI's taxonomy places the organism in Eukaryota, Metazoa, Chordata, Mammalia, Rodentia, Cricetidae. The record is from RefSeq and is a predicted model, not a curated record.